This 332-nucleotide ribosomal RNA is filed under the name uncultured Gemmatimonas sp. RNAcentral's name for it is "bacterial SSU rRNA". It matches the Rfam family "Bacterial small subunit ribosomal RNA", at positions 568 to 898 of the family's 1533-position model. The record is from RNAcentral. Lineage: Bacteria; Pseudomonadati; Gemmatimonadota; Gemmatimonadia; Gemmatimonadales; Gemmatimonadaceae.
CGCGUAGGCGGUUUUGUAAGUCGGGGGUGAAAUGCUGCGGCUCAACCGCAGCGCUGCCUUCGAGACUGCAAGACUGGAGCACGGUAGAGGCGGAUGGAAUUCCCGGUGUAGCGGUGGAAUGCGUAGAGAUCGGGAAGAACACCAAUGGCGAAGGCAGUCCGCUGGGCCGUUGCUGACGCUGAGGCGCGACAGCGUGGGGAGCAAACAGGAUUAGAUACCCUGGUAGUCCACGCCGUAAACGAUGGGCACUAGGCGUCGGGGGGAGCGACCCUCCCGGUGCCGUCGCUAACGCAGUAAGUGCCCCGCCUGGGGAGUACGGCCGCAAGGUUGAA